AUGAACGCUGGCGGCGUGCCUAAUACCUGCAAGUCGAGCGAACAGACGAGGAGCUUGCUCCUCUGACGUUAGCGGCGGACGGGUGAGUAACACGUGGAUAACCUACCUAUAAGACUGGGAUAACUUCGGGAAACCGGAGCUAAUACCGGAUAAUAUAUUGAACCGCAUGGUUCAAUAGUGAAAGACGGUUUUGCUGUCACUUAUAGAUGGAUCCGCGCCGCAUUAGCUAGUUGGUAAGGUAACGGCUUACCAAGGCAACGAUGCGUAGCCGACCUGAGAGGGUGAUCGGCCACACUGGAACUGAGACACGGUCCAGACUCCUACGGGAGGCAGCAGUAGGGAAUCUUCCGCAGUGGGCGAAAGCCUGACGGAGCAACGCUGCGUGAGUGAUGAAGGUCUUCGGAUCGUAAAACUCUGUUAUUAGGGAAGAACAAAUGUGUAAGUAACUAUGCACGUCUUGACGGUACCUAAUCAGAAAGCCACGGCUAACUACGU
Molecule: ribosomal RNA, 495 nt
Filed under: uncultured bacterium
Lineage: Bacteria
Description: partial 16S ribosomal RNA
Rfam family: Bacterial small subunit ribosomal RNA
Source: RNAcentral